RNAcentral lists this ribosomal RNA (426 nucleotides) under uncultured bacterium. RNAcentral describes it as "bacterial SSU rRNA". It matches the Rfam family "Bacterial small subunit ribosomal RNA", at positions 355 to 773 of the family's 1533-position model. The record is from RNAcentral.
UGGGGAAUAUUGGACAAUGGGGGCAACCCUGAUCCAGCAAUGCCGCGUGUGUGAAGAAGGCCUUCGGGUUGUAAAGCACUUUUAUCGGGAACGAAACGUUGUCGGCCAAUACCCGGCAAAACUGACGGUACCCGAGGAAUAAGCACCGGCUAACUCCGUGCCAGCAGCCGCGGUAAUACGGAGGGUGCAAGCGUUAAUCGGAAUUACUGGGCGUAAAGCGUGCGCAGGCGGUUUUGUAAGUUUGUCGUGAAAGCCCCGGGCUCAACCUGGGAAUGGCGAUGAAGACUGCAAGGCUUGAAUCUGGCAGAGGGGGGUAGAAUUCCACGUGUAGCAGUGAAAUGCGUAGAGAUGUGGAGGAACACCGAUGGCGAAGGCAGCCCCCUGGGUCAAGAUUGACGCUCAUGCACGAAAGCGUGGGGAGCAAAC